RNAcentral lists this ribosomal RNA (424 nucleotides) under uncultured bacterium. Its description in RNAcentral is "bacterial SSU rRNA". It matches the Rfam family "Bacterial small subunit ribosomal RNA", at positions 355 to 776 of the family's 1533-position model. The record is from RNAcentral.
UGAGGAAUAUUGGUCAAUGGACGCAAGUCUGAACCAGCCAAAUCGCGUGAAGGAAGACUGCCUUAUGGGUUGUAAACUUCUUUUAUAAGGGAAUAAAAAAUGUCACGAGUGACAUAUUGCAUGUACCUUAUGAAUAAGCAUCGGCUAACUCCGUGCCAGCAGCCGCGGUAAUACGGAGGAUGCGAGCGUUAUCCGGAUUUAUUGGGUUUAAAGGGUGCGCAGGCGGGCUCUUAAGUCAGCGGUGAAAUCUCGAGGCUCAACCUCGAAAUUGCCGUUGAAACUGGGAACCUUGAGUAUAGAUGAAGUAGGCGGAAUUCGUUGUGUAGCGGUGAAAUGCAUAGAUAUAACGAGGAACCCCAAUUGCGUAGGCAGCUUACUAAACUAUAACUGACGCUCAAGCACGAAAGCGUGGGUAUCAAACAGG